This 440-nucleotide ribosomal RNA is filed under the name uncultured bacterium. RNAcentral's name for it is "partial 16S ribosomal RNA". It matches the Rfam family "Bacterial small subunit ribosomal RNA", at positions 338 to 795 of the family's 1533-position model. The record is from RNAcentral.
CCUACGGGAGGCAGCAGUGGGGAAUAUUGCACAAUGGGGGAAACUCUGAUGCAGCGACGUCGCGUGAGUGAUGAAGUCAUUCGUUAUGUAAAGCUCUAUCAGCAGGGAAGAAAAAGAUGGUACCUGAGCCAGAAGUCCCGGCUAACUACGUGCCAGCAGCCGCGGUAAUACGUAGGGGGCAAGCUUUAUCCGGAUUAGCUGGGUGUAAGGGGAGCGUAGACGGUAUUUAAAGUCUGGUGUGAAAGGCGGGGGCUCAACCCCCGGAUUGCACUGGAAACUGGACGGCUGGAGUGCAGGUGAGGUAGGUGGAAUUCCUAGUGUAGCGGUGAAAUGCUUAGAUAUUAGGAAGAACACCAGUGGCGAAGGCAGCUUACUGGACUGUAACUGACGUUGAGGCUCGAAAGCGUGGGGAGCAAACAGGAUUAGAUACCCGUGUAGUC